CGACAGCGACCCCAGGUCA
This 19-nucleotide ribosomal RNA is filed under the name Forsythia europaea. RNAcentral describes it as "partial 28S ribosomal RNA". The record is from RNAcentral. Lineage: Eukaryota; Viridiplantae; Streptophyta; Magnoliopsida; Lamiales; Oleaceae.